UGGGGAAUAUUGGACAAUGGGCGCAAGCCUGAUCCAGCCAUGCCGCGUGAGUGACGAAGGCCUUAGGGUUGUAAAGCUCUUUUGGCGGGGAAGAUAAUGACGGUACCCGCAGAAUAAGCUCCGGCUAACUUCGUGCCAGCAGCCGCGGUAAUACGAAGGGAGCUAGCGUUGUUCGGAAUCACUGGGCGUAAAGCGCACGUAGGCGGAUAGUUAAGUCAGGGGGUGAAAUCCUGGGGCUCAACCCCAGAACUGCCUUUGAUACUGGCUGUCUCGAGGUCGAGAGAGGUUGGUGGAAUUCCUAGUGUAGAGGUGAAAUUCGUAGAUAUUAGGAAGAACACCAGUGGCGAAGGCGGCCAACUGGCUCGAUACUGACGCUGAGGUGCGAAAGCGUGGGGAGCAAACAGGAUUAGAUACCCCUGUAGUCCCUGAGCGGGCUGGCAAGGCGCAU
Molecule: ribosomal RNA, 448 nt
Filed under: uncultured bacterium
Lineage: Bacteria
Description: bacterial SSU rRNA
Rfam family: Bacterial small subunit ribosomal RNA
Source: RNAcentral